AAGAUUCGGGUCUCGGCCCACCAUCAUCAGCUGUGCGCUUCGGCUGCACGCUGCAUGAACAACUUCACACCUGUGCACAUCUUCGGUGGCGGCGUCCGCGUCGCUUCCGCUUUACAUUUAACAACUGUUCAGAAUGUACAAACCAUAAACAAUA
Molecule: unclassified non-coding RNA, 154 nt
Filed under: uncultured fungus
Lineage: Eukaryota; Fungi
Description: sequence contains ITS1, 5.8S rRNA gene
Source: RNAcentral